AACGAACGCUGGCGGCAUGCCUAACACAUGCAAGUCGAACGAGACCUUCGGGCCUUGUGGCGCAGGGGUGCUUAACGCGGGGGAACCUGCCCUUAGGUUCGGUAUAACUCCCCGUGGGGGGUGCUAAUACCGGUGAAUCUCUUCGGACCUAAGAUUUAUCGCCUUUGGAUGGGCCCGCGUUAGAUUAGCUAGUUGGUAGGGUAAAAGCAUAGCAAGGCGACGAUCCAUAGCUGGUCGGUGAGGAUGACACGCCACGCUGGAACUGCGACCCGGCCCAGACCCCUACGGAACGCAGCAGUGGGGAAUAUUAUGCGAUGGGCGAUAGCCUGAUCCAGCAGUGCCGCGUGAGUGAUGAAGGCCGUAGGGUUGUAAAGCUCUUUUUCCCGAGAUGAUAAUGACAGUACCGGGAGAAUAAGCUCCGGCUAACUCCGUG
RNAcentral lists this ribosomal RNA (433 nucleotides) under uncultured bacterium. RNAcentral's name for it is "partial 16S ribosomal RNA". It matches the Rfam family "Bacterial small subunit ribosomal RNA", at positions 29 to 507 of the family's 1533-position model. The record is from RNAcentral.